Molecule: ribosomal RNA, 440 nt
Filed under: uncultured bacterium
Lineage: Bacteria
Description: partial 16S ribosomal RNA
Rfam family: Bacterial small subunit ribosomal RNA
Source: RNAcentral
CCUACGGGAGGCAGCAGUGGGGAAUAUUGCGCAAUGGGGGAAACCCUGAUGCAGCAACGCCGCGUGAGUGAAGAAGGAUUUCGGGAUGUAAAGCUCUAUCAGCAGGGAAGAGGAUGACGGUACAUGAGUAGGAAGCACCGUCUAACUACGGGCCAGCACCCGCGGCAAUAUGCAGGGGGCAAGAGUUAUCCGGAUUUACUGGGUGUGAAGGGAGCGCAGACGGGGAGACAAGUCUGAAGUGAAAACACGGGGCUCAACCCCGGGACUGCGUUGGAAACUGCAUGACUGGAGUGCUGGAGAGGCAAGCGGAAUUCCUAGUGUAGCGGUGAAAUGCGUAGAUAUUAGGAAGAACACCAGUGGCGAAGGCGGCUUACUGGACGGCAACUGACGUUGAGGCACGAAAGCGUGGGGAGCAAACAGGAUUAGAUACCCUGGUAGUC